Molecule: ribosomal RNA, 443 nt
Filed under: uncultured bacterium
Lineage: Bacteria
Description: partial 16S ribosomal RNA
Rfam family: Bacterial small subunit ribosomal RNA
Source: RNAcentral
CCUACGGGUGGCAGCAGUGGGGAAUAUUGGGCAAUGGGCGCAAGCCUGACCCCGCAACGCCGCGUGAAGGAAGAAGGCUUUCGGGUUGUAAACUUCUUUUCUCAGGGACGAAGCAAGUGACGGUACAUGAGGAAUAAGCCACGGCUAACUACGUGCCAGCAGCCGCGGUAAUACGUAGGUUGCAAGCGUUAUCCGGAUUUACUGGGUGUAAAGGGCGUGUAGGCGGGGAUGCAAGUCAGAUGGGAAAACCACGGGCUCAACCGGUGGCCUGCAUUUGAAACUGUGUUUCUUGAGUACUGGAGAGGCAGACGGAAUGCCUAGGGUAGCGGUGAAAUGCGUAGAUAUUAGGAGGAACACCAGUGGCGAAGGCGGUCUGCUGGACAGCAACUGACGCUGAGGCGCGAAAGCGUGGGGAGCAAACAGGAUUAGAUACCCGUGUAGUC